Pelobates cultripes (western spadefoot toad) is the source of this 211-nucleotide non-coding RNA. Lineage: Eukaryota; Metazoa; Chordata; Amphibia; Anura; Pelobatidae. The record is from the annotation of a GenBank genome assembly.
GCUGCAUUUUCAACCAGAGAUUUUUUAAUUUAUAGCAAUCCCACCAAAUAUGUCUAAAAUUGCCUCUAAUACUAUUGCAUCUCCAACAGAUAGGAUUUACUAGAGGGUAAAUUUUAUUCAAUUUAGCUGGUACUAAGUACCACCUAUUUAAAACUUUAAAGUGCGUUUCUAAUAAAUUUAAUGAAUGUAUAUUCUUCUUAACAUCCAUCAU